RNAcentral lists this ribosomal RNA (430 nucleotides) under Shigella sonnei. Its description in RNAcentral is "bacterial LSU rRNA". It matches the Rfam family "Bacterial large subunit ribosomal RNA", at positions 1 to 473 of the family's 2925-position model. The record is from RNAcentral. Lineage: Bacteria; Pseudomonadati; Pseudomonadota; Gammaproteobacteria; Enterobacterales; Enterobacteriaceae.
UAAGGAACAGAGCGUACACGGUGGAUGCCCUGGCAGUCAGAGGCGAUGAAGGACGUGCUAAUCUGCGAUAAGCGUCGGUAAGGUGAUAUGAACCGUUGUAACCGGCGAUUUCCGAAUGGGGAAACCCAGUGUGAUUCGUCACACUAUCAUUAACUGAAUCCAUAGGUUAAUGAGGCGAACCGGGGGAACUGAAACAUCUAAGUACCCCGAGGAAAAGAAAUCAACCGAGAUUCCCCCAGUAGCGGCGAGCGAACGGGGAGCAGCCCAGAGCCUGAAUCAGUGUGUGUGUUAGUGGAAGCGUCUGGAAAGGCGCGCGAUACAGGGUGACAGCCCCGUACACAAAAAUGCACAUAUUGUGAGCUCGAUGAGUAGGGCGGGACACGUGGUAUCCUGUCUGAAUAUGGGGGGCCCAUCCUCCAAGGCUAAAUAC